AUCCAUGUUAUUUCUUCAUCCUUGCACCGAAACUAAAACAAAGAAAAAGAAAUAAAACAAAGUAGGGUUCGGCCUUGUUCAAGCUAGAUUAAGAUCAAGAACUAAAGAAAUCGGAUUUGGACCGGGAAAAACGAAAGUUGUCGACUAGCCGUCUGAUUCCGUUUUAUACCAUCCGAGAUUUUGGAAUCAAGCUACAAGCUCGGGGAUUGUCAGCCAAGCUCGUCACACUAUCCACAGCUUUGGCUAGGUAUGAAAGUAUAAGAACUCAGCAUACAAGCCGAUCCCCGAACUCAAAUUGGUGAAGUUUCUAUCUUUUUGGAAAAUGGCAUUGUACCUAGGAUGUCUUUUGGUCAUUUUGAAAGUACCUAAGUUGUUAAGUGAUAUUUUGGUAUGUUUUGUAAAUGUUACCAAAACCUUAAGUAUAGUAUGUUUUUGAUAUGUUAGUGAAGAGAAAUUAGAGGAAGUGAUGGUAAAUAUUGUAGAGAGAAGAAA
This is a long non-coding RNA of Gossypium arboreum, 492 nucleotides long. RefSeq lists it as uncharacterized. The transcript has 4 exons. NCBI's taxonomy places the organism in Eukaryota, Viridiplantae, Streptophyta, Magnoliopsida, Malvales, Malvaceae. The record is from RefSeq and is a predicted model, not a curated record.